GCGCCUGUGGCUCAGUGGAUAGAGCGACGGCCUCCGGAGCCGUAAGUCGAAGGUUCAAAUCCUUUCAGGCGCGCCA
This 76-nucleotide transfer RNA is filed under the name Synergistales bacterium. RNAcentral describes it as "tRNA-Arg". It matches the Rfam family "tRNA". Rfam says of the family: Transfer RNA (tRNA) molecules are approximately 80 nucleotides in length. Their secondary structure includes four short double-helical elements and three loops (D, anti-codon, and T loops). Lineage: Bacteria; Thermotogati; Synergistota; Synergistia; Synergistales. The record is from RNAcentral.